CGUGUAGGCGGUUGGUUAAGUCUGAUGUGAAAGCCCUGGGCUCAACCCGGGAAGUGCAUUGGAAACUGGUCAACUUGAGUACGGGAGAGGGAAGUGGAAUUUCGAGUGUAGGGGUGAAAUCCGUAGAUAUUCGAAGGAACACCGGUGGCGAAGGCGGCUUCCUGGACCGAUACUGACGCUGAGACGCGAAAGCGUGGGGAGCAAACAGGAUUAGAUACCCUGGUAGUCC
RNAcentral lists this ribosomal RNA (229 nucleotides) under uncultured bacterium. RNAcentral describes it as "partial 16S ribosomal RNA". It matches the Rfam family "Bacterial small subunit ribosomal RNA", at positions 568 to 796 of the family's 1533-position model. The record is from RNAcentral.